GGUGGGUUGGCGUAAUGGCAACGCGUUAGUUUCCGGCAUAGUAGCCAGCUAAAGAUUCUGGGUUCGAGUCCCAGGCCCGUCG
Transfer RNA from Hypholoma sublateritium FD-334 SS-4, 82 nucleotides. It matches the Rfam family "tRNA". Rfam says of the family: Transfer RNA (tRNA) molecules are approximately 80 nucleotides in length. Their secondary structure includes four short double-helical elements and three loops (D, anti-codon, and T loops). NCBI's taxonomy places the organism in Eukaryota, Fungi, Basidiomycota, Agaricomycetes, Agaricales, Strophariaceae. The record is from Rfam.